This 329-nucleotide unclassified non-coding RNA is filed under the name soil metagenome. RNAcentral describes it as "partial contains 5.8S ribosomal RNA, internal transcribed spacer 2, and large subunit ribosomal RNA". The stretch from base 1 to 120 matches the Rfam family "5.8S ribosomal RNA", at positions 35 to 154 of the family's 154-position model. The record is from RNAcentral.
GAUGAAGAACGCAGCGAAAUGAGAUAAGUAAUGUGAAUUGCAGAAUUCAGUGAAUCAUCGAAUCUUUGAACGCACAUUGCGCCCCUUGGUAUUCCGAGGGGCAUGCCUGUUCGAGCGUCAUUAUAACCCCUCAAGCUCAGCUUGGUGUUGGGGCCUGCUGCACUGGCAGCCCUUAAAAUCAGUGGCGGCGCCAUCUGGCUCUAAGCGUAGUAAUUCUUCUCGCUAUGGAGUCCUGGUGGAUGCUUGCCAUCAACCCCCAAUUUUUCUAUGGUUGACCUCGGAUCAGGAAGGGAUACCCGCUGAACUUAAGCAUAUCAAUAAGCGGAGGA